RNAcentral lists this ribosomal RNA (429 nucleotides) under uncultured archaeon. RNAcentral's name for it is "bacterial SSU rRNA". It matches the Rfam family "Archaeal small subunit ribosomal RNA", at positions 474 to 903 of the family's 1478-position model. The record is from RNAcentral.
UACCAGCUCUCCGAGUUGUAGGGACGAUUAUUGGGCUUAAAGCGUCCGUAGCUGGCUUAGCAAGUCUCCUGUUAAAUUCAGCGACCUAAUCGUUGAGCCGCGGGAGAUACUACUAGGCUAGGAGGCGGGAGAGGUCGACGGUACUUUCGGGGUAGGGGUGAAAUCCUAUAAUCCCGGGAGGACCACCAGUGGCGAAGGCUGUCGACUAGAACGCGCUCGACGGUGAGGGACGAAAGCUGGGGUAGCGAACCGGAUUAGAUACCCGGGUAGUCCCAGCUGUAAACUAUGCGGGCUAGGUGUGGGGGUGGCUACGGGCCACUUCAGUGCCGCAGGAAAGCCAUUAAGCCCGCCGCCUGGGGAGUACGGCCGCAAGGCUGAAACUUAAAGGAAUUGGCGGGGGAGCACCACAAGGCGUGAAGCUUGCGGUUC